GCCUGGAUGAACCUCAGUGGUCUGGGGUGCAGGCUUCAAACCUGUAGCUGAUUAACGUCAGAGUGGUUCGAUUCCACCUUCUAGGCG
RNAcentral lists this transfer RNA (87 nucleotides) under Ciona intestinalis (vase tunicate). Its description in RNAcentral is "tRNA-SeC (TCA) (tRNA-SeC-TCA-1-1)". It matches the Rfam family "Selenocysteine transfer RNA". Lineage: Eukaryota; Metazoa; Chordata; Ascidiacea; Phlebobranchia; Cionidae. The record is from RNAcentral.